This is a non-coding RNA of Phrynosoma platyrhinos (Desert horned lizard), 73 nucleotides long. The record is from the annotation of a GenBank genome assembly. Lineage: Eukaryota; Metazoa; Chordata; Lepidosauria; Squamata; Phrynosomatidae.
GGUAGCGUGGUGUAAAUGGUUUGAGUGCUGGACUAUGACUCUGGAGAGCAGGGUUCGAUUCCCUGCUUGAGCA